This 7106-nucleotide long non-coding RNA is filed under the name Malus domestica (apple). RNAcentral describes it as "long non-coding RNA (MDOM_LNC012456)". The record is from RNAcentral. Lineage: Eukaryota; Viridiplantae; Streptophyta; Magnoliopsida; Rosales; Rosaceae.
AAGAUACAAUUUAUAAGUUGAUACACCCGAAGGUGAGUCCUAAUUUUGUCCAAUCUGUCAGAACACCGUCGAAUUCCUCGUAGUCACCACUUCUUUGUGAAACCUGAACCUGGAGGGGCGCAAAACCAAAAUUGAGUGGGUCAGUAAAACAAUUCUUUUCCAAAUCCAAACAUUUCUCAAAACGUUGUAACCCCUCUCCGUAAAACCUGUAUACUUUCCCAGAAAUGUAAAAUAUAAAUAUACAUAUAUAUUCUCAAAACUUCAUUUUUACUAUCUCAACAUUUUUCUUUAUCAAUCAUGCCAUGCCAUGCCAUGUCUAAUUCAACAAUUAAGUAUAGAUGCAUCAACAAUAAUCAUAUCAGGUGCAAGAAAGUAAUCAACCGGAGGCCCUCUCUAAUAGCCCUGCCCGGUUGAACCUAGAGCUCAAAAUCUAUCACUCUCACUCUACCGGAGUCACCUCUGUGACCUGUCCGGCCUUCUGCACACAAGUUACGCUCUAGUGCUUUCUCAUCAAUCAUCUGUGCACAUAAUCUAAGGUCACCCACCAGUCGAAAUCUCACUAACACUCUUCGACUGGCCCGUCGCACCCACUCCGCGUGGACUGUGCGACCAGUAUCUACUUGGAUCCAAGGCGAGCGUGCGAUGUGGUGAAUACUAUAAGCACUAAACCAUGGUGCAGGAUUUGAGCUCAAUUUAUAUCAACAUCAUCAUAACAGUAUUUAAAUACUCACCUGAUACUCACCUGUGCGUCCGCCGCACCAUUCAUUCAUAUGCAUCAUAUCUCAAUAUGCAUCAUAUCUCAAUUCAUACUUUUCAUAUAUCAUUUCAUGCAUGGCCAUUCGAUUCACAUUUCUAUAUAUAUUUCAUAUACUUCUAUGCAUGGCAUCUCAAUUCACAUUUUCAUAUAAUUCUAUAUACCUUUCGUUUAAAACAUAAUUUCAUUCUAAUUCAAUUUCUGGGAAAACGUCAAGUAUAUAGAUAUACGGAAAACAAAACUGCCCACUCACAGAAUACAUCGACGUGUCGAAGGUCCCUGAGCCUCCCUUAGUCAUGCCCAACGUUCGUACAAGCCUCGCCUAUACGAGAAAUAACCGAAUUAACGUUAUUUAACGCAUAACCUAAUUCUUAGCUAAUAACUCCUCAAAUAUUGCUCAAAUUGGGUAUAUGAAAUAUACCACCGUGACCUACACAACCUCAGGAUCAUCCCCAUAUUUUUAAAAUAAUUUUUGGAGUCCUCACGCGCCCCCACGCGCCUGACGUGGCACGGACCUACGCGCCCCCCACGCGCGGCCACGUGCCAAGCACACUGACGGUGUCAAUUGAUGCCGUCAGGAAUAUUCCGUUAAAACCCCGGAAUAUGCCGUUAACUUAACCUUUUUCCGUUACUGUCGUUAGGAAUAUCCCGUUAAAUAUAACGGAUUAUUCCUUCUUCUUCUCCGGUCGUCCCUCGCCGGACUCCGGUCACCGGAAACUGGGGAAUAUUUCAAAUCCACUAUUCUCCUUCGUUUUUCAUCCAAAUUUCUCGAAUUUUACACCAAUUUGAAGCCCUAAACAUCUACUUUCACGUUGGACUAGUUUUAGGGCCUAAAAACUACGAGAUCAAACUUUUCAAAAAUUCAAGAAAUCGGCCAAACUUACAACUCGUGAUCCCGACGUCCAAUCCAUGCCAACGAAGCACUCCGAGCUUCCUUGUGACUUCCUAAAGCUCACUGUGAGUUUGGUUUCACCUAAAACAAAGCCAAUUCGAAGUUCAUGAACAGUGCAAUAUCACGGGGUCCUUGAAAACUAGGGUUUUCCGAAGUAGAACUUACCUGAAAUGGAUACCAUCGUGCUCGUGAAGUCUUCAGGGUUCCAAUGGUGGUCUUAGAUUCGUCGUUGGUAUAGAUUUAGGGUGGUUUUGUGGUUGGUCUGUGAGUUCGAAGGAGAGGGAGAGAGAACUGAGAGUUUCGUGAGGGAGGAGAGAGAGACAGUAUGCAGAAAAUAGGGAGAGGAUUGAGGAAUGUGGGGAUCCCUCGUGGUCCUUUUCCAAUCCCCAACUCCAAACCACAAAAUUUUAACCUAAAAAUCUAAGUUCCAUCCUUAAUAAAUUCCAUUUUAUUUUCAAAACUUAGGAACCUAGAUAAUUAUCAACUUGAGCUUCACAUACUUAGUAUUUCUUAAGGGCAAUUUCGUCCAUUCACAGCCACGAAUGUAAUAUUUUGGAACGGGCUGUGACAAUCUCCCCUCCUUAUAGAAUUUCGUCCCCGAAAUUCCAGCCACCAAUCAACCCAUCAAUACUCAUACCAAACUCGGUAAGUCUCUUUCAUCCGAUUCUCUUUCUCCCGCGCAAUUUUCUUCCACUGAAUAAUUCCUUCACAAAACUUUUACCAUUUACUCUAUCUUAAUUCUCAGGACCUUCUUUUUCCAAUCCAAAGUCGUCCUUGGUUCCUUAUCAAGUCGAAUCCAAUUUAAUUCUCAAUAGUUGCACCAGAAUCUCAUGUGACGAAUCUGCCAUCUAGAGACAACGUAUCGAACCCAAAAUACAUUAUGUGCCUUAGCCAAUUCUGAAGACAUCACCACUUGUAUGCAACUUUAUUGAUUCCUUUAGUGAUCAAAACGGACUGAUGUGUUCAAGACUUAUCUUGUCUUCCUUUCUGAAUCUUACUAUUUCUGUUCAUGGUGAAAUUCCAAAAAUAUCAAACCAUUUACCUUACCUUACACACUCGAUUAGUGGCAUAUCCAUCUGUUAGUCUCUUUUGCCAUUCCUGGUUACUUCAGGUUAACUUAAUCACAUGAAUACUUUGAGGAGACUCAUCCAUAGUCUCAGGGUCUACUAACUCUUUCUUGAUCGAAUCUUUCUCUAUUCAGAAGCAUUUCAUUCACACGACACGCUUCAGGGACCCUAUGGCGUUACUUCGGAAACUGCACAACCAACAUACUUAAGAAACUCAGCAGUUCCGUAACCCAAUUCGUCUUUCCAUAAAACAAAUAAGUACCGUUGCUCUGUCUGGGAAAAAGUUAUUACUCAGCACUGGAGUAAUUGUACUAACUUGGUACAUUGGCCAACUAUCACUUCAACUUCGAUCAUAACUAUCCUAUGUACAAGGAAACUUGUACACAUAAUCCAAAGUAAUAUCUUUCCAUUUCCACUGCGAAACAGAAAAUAGUUAUCUCAAUCCAAAGGUUUAUCUCUUUCUGCCUCAAUCUGCUGACCAAUUAAAACUGUCGAAUGGUAUGAUAAAUCUUAUUACUUUUGGAAUAUUGCAGAAGUUAAACAAUGUACUUCGUCCAAAAUUGCUUACUUUAAAUCCUUAGCAUUAGGCACAUACUUUUUGUUUCCUUGUAUCCACAUACCAUUUGAUUCACGAAUCAUGUACUCAUUCUUUUUCCUUUCUUUCUCUGCCUUGGUUAAUUCUUAAAUUUCCUCGUCAAACAUUUAAGUUUCAAGUACGACCUUACCAAACAGGCCUAACUUGAAAAUUAACAAGUAUAACUUCUUCUCGAUCUUUCAUUCUUAACUUUUCUUCCGUUGGUUUUCAAUCCACAAGAUGAUACUCUUGGCAACGUGCCAGACAUUAAUCUUACUGCAAUCUUUUCACCAAGUGUAUCAGCUAGAACAAUUUUACGAUCACCCUGGUCGUACAAUCAUAUACAUUAAACAAUUCAAUUUACCUUCGCUACCUCAGAUCAAAAUCCUUCCGAGUAAUGGAUAUUGAAGACUUUUUGGAUUCGUAAAAAAAAAAAUCUUGCAUUCUCACUAAAAUAUAAUGUCUCCAUAACUUCACAGCAAAGAUGGUAAUCGUGACUUCCAAAUCACCAGUAGGGUAAUUCAUCUUAUGAGAUUCCAUUUAUCGUGAAACGUAUGCAAUCACCCUAACAUUUGCAUCAACAUGCCUCCAAUACCAUUCAAGAAACAUCACUAAAAAUUUAUGAUUACCACUAUUCUCUGGGAUUACUAAAUUAUGUGCAUGAGUGAGGAAAUACUUCAGUUGUUGAAUCCUUUGCUCACAAUUUCCUUCCCACUCAUACAUAACCUCUUUUCUCAACAGUCUCGUCAAUGACAAAACAAUGAUUGAAAAAUCUUUCACAACCAUCCAAGAUAGCCUGGUAAGCUAAGAAAUUCCGAAUCUCAAUUAUGGCUUGUGGUUGUUCCAAAUUUUUAAUUUCUGUUACCUUUUAAGGAUUCACUUGAAUACCUUAAGAAUAUAUAACAUAUCCCAGAAAUGCUGCUUGAUUCAUCCAACAUUAGCAUUUGCUAAACUUAGCAUACAAUCGACAUUCUUCCAAUCUUUGUUCCACCGACUUAAUACGUUUACAUGCUCUGCUCUGGCUCAGAAUAGGCCAGAAUAUCUUCAAGGAAAAUGAUAUCAAUUUAUCAAUGAUUAUUGGAAUACUUCAUCCAUCAACUCAUAAAACAGCAUGAGUAUCCAUAUAGCAUCACCAAACUUCAUAAGGACCAUAACAAGUCCAGAAAACCAUCUUAUGAUCAACGUCACUUAUAAUAUUCAAUUGGUAGUAACCAGAUCUCAAUUCAAUCUUUGAAUCUUCGCAAUUACUUCUGAGCUGGUUAAAUAAACAUCAGUACAUCACCAUGGAUAACGGUUCUCAAUCGUUACCCGACUCCAUUGUCUAUAAUCAAUGAACAGUCUCAAGAUCCAUUUUCUUCCUCACCAACAAACUGGGGCUCCUCAAAAGUGUUGUACUAGGUUGAAUAAAACUUUUAUCAACCAAUUCUUUCAACUGAAUUUCCAAUUCCCUUAACUCAUCAUGAACCAAUCUUUAACAUAAAUUUAUACCUGGCAACAAAUCAAUAAUGAACCUCAUAUCUCUGCCUGAAGACAAUCCAGAUAUACUUUCAGGGAAGACAUCAAGAAAAGUCUAACCCUUUCGACAUUAUUCACACUACUCCAAACAACAUCAUUUAGCACCACAUGAGCUAAGUAUUUUUGGCAGCCUUUUAAAACAAUCUCUUUGCUUUCACAGCAUAAAUAACGGCUGAACUCACUUCACUUUGCAUACUUACAAAAGUAAUCUCUGGUCAUCCAGAUCGAUGGAAAGUACUGGUUUCCCAUAACAUUCCGUCUUGUCACAAUUAUAACCAACCAUUCUAAUGGAACAGAAUUAACUGAUACAAUAUAUAUUCUAUUAUUAUUAAGCAUUCUGAAUAAGUACAAUACUAACAUAAAAUAAUCUACCGGUUUACUUACUUAACGAAUCCACGAAUAAGUUAUUAAUAUUACGGUCUGCAGCCCGCAAUACUGAUAAAUCAUCGUUGUCUCGAUAAGUAGGCAACCACUCUCAAAGAUAUAACAAUACUAUUUUGCCACUCAAUGCAAAAUACAUACACUCGUCUCAACCGCAUUUAUUUACUACUUUCUAGGCAAUAUCAAUCAUAAUAAAAUAUAUAUAUAUCAGCCGGAGUCAACUAGAAUGACUUGUACGGCUGAUUCAACAAUUAUCUCAAUAAUAUGUCGGCCGGAUCCACUCCGCGUGGUCGGUACGGCCGAGCCUAUAACUCACCAAUUUCUCAUGCGUCAGCCAGAUCCACCUCUCGUGGCCUGUACGGCUGAACAUAUAACUCAUCAAAUCUCUCUGUACCCACGGUCAAUCCGACCAAACUACUAAGUUCAUAAACUCUGCUGAAUCGAUACUACGAUGUCAUAGAAAACUGUUGGGUACAACUGAUUCUAGGGACAAUUCACAAUUAUGUGUCCCCUCUGUUCACAUAAACACAUUCAUUAAUUUCACACUUCCCAAAGUGUUAAUUUUGUACCUGCUGCACAAAGUACAUUUCCUUUACUCGAGACACCUUGUCUCAAAUAUCUGGGAUUACCAGUAUAUCCAUCACUUUUAUUCUGACCAGCGACAUUAAAACCUCAGCUGGAAGAAUUAACUCUAGCUUCACUUCUUUCGAAGCUCUGAAUCCUUCGAUAUUUUUGAUAUGACGAAUCAUUAACUUUAUCGUCUUCUUUUAAUUCCCAUUCUUUUCUUAUUCCUCUUCACUCUAGCUGAUCAUAUUCUCAGAGUCCUCAAGGCUCAACAACAUCUUGUAUACUCUUGGUAAGAAUUACAAUGGAUAGUGGUCACCCAAAAUACCACUUCCCUUUUUUUUUUUUUUUUUUUUUGCCACCCAGCUUAAAACAACAUAACACCUCCACUAAAUUAACAACAAUAUCUGGAUGGAACGAGGCUAGUCUGAAAACUUUCUAUAAUAUCCCUCGAUCAUCACCUUCCUUGUCUCAUAUUUGUAAACUCUUGUUUACUACCAUCGAUAAAUGCCGGAGGGAUAAACUUUUCCUUAAACAAAUCCUUAAACAAUUUUAAACCGGCUGAUUCCUCUGGUGACAACAAAUAACAAUCCUGUUUCCACCAGGAUACAAAUUCGUACCCAAAACCAGGUAGUCGUCUCGACCCCCUGUCAGAAGGAAGAUUCCUUUGACUUGCAUAAUCCGAAACUUCUUUUCCAAAUGGUUAAACCGUUACUUCGUUCCCUCAGGUUCAUCAUUUCAUAAGGUGAUUCAAAUUCGACUCAUAACCCAUCUUAAAAUGUCCAUUUUUAUAAUAAACUGAAUCACCAUAAUAAUAGUUUCCCCUAAACCGCUAUAUUAGGGAGACUAAAUUCCUCUAACUAAGUGGCUUGCUACGAGGCGGUGUAGUUCUGACAGAAUUCACUAGAACUUCUCAAGAUGUCCAAGAUUGCAACCAUGCUCUGAUACCAACUGACACACCCUGUCCCGAAGGAGGGCAUGCUGGCCGUCACGUGAGAGUGACGUAACCAUUUGCACAGUACGGAAGCUUUAAGAUACAAUUUAUAAGUUGAUACACCCGAAGGUGAGUCCUAAUUUUGUCCAAUCUGUCAGAACACCGUCGAAUUCCUCGUAGUCACCACUUCUUUGUGAAACCUGAACCUGGAGGGGCGCAAAACCAAAAUUGAGUGGGUCAGUAAAACAAUUCUUUUCCAAAUCCAAACAUUUCUCAAAACGUUGUAACCCCUCUCCGUAAAAACCUGUAUACUUUCCCAGAAAUGUAAAAUAUAAAUAUACAUAUAUAUUCUCAAAACUUCAUUUUUACUAUCUCAACAUUUUUCUUUAUCAAUCAUGCCAUGCCAUGCCAUGUCUAAUUCAACA